RNAcentral lists this ribosomal RNA (445 nucleotides) under uncultured bacterium. RNAcentral describes it as "partial 16S ribosomal RNA". It matches the Rfam family "Bacterial small subunit ribosomal RNA", at positions 354 to 796 of the family's 1533-position model. The record is from RNAcentral.
GUGAGGAAUAUUGGUCAAUGGGCGGGAGCCUGAACCAGCCAAGUCGCGUGAAGGAAGAAGGAUCUAUGGUUCGUAAACUUCUUUUGCAGGGGAAUAAAGUGCGGGACGUGUACUGUUUUGUAUGUACCCUGAGAAUAAGGAUCGGCUAACUCCGUGCCAGCAGCCGCGGUAAUACGGAGGAUCCGAGCGUUAUCCGGAUUUAUUGGGUUUAAAGGGUGCGUAGGUGGUUUGAUAAGUCAGCGGUGAAAGUUUUCAGCUUAACUGUAAAAAUGCCGUAGAAACUGUCGGACUUGAGUGUAAAUGAGGUAGGCGGAAUGCGUGGUGUAGCGGUGAAAUGCAUAGAUAUCACGCAGAACUACGAUUGCGAAGGCAGCUUACUAAGCUACAACUGACACUGAAGCACGAAAGCGUGGGGAUCAAACAGGAUUAGAAACCCCGGUAGUCC